AUUGAACGCUGGCGGCAUGCCUUACACAUGCAAGUCGAGCGGCAGCGCGGGGGCAACCCUGGCGGCGAGCGGCGUACGGGUGAGUAAUGCAUCGGAACGUGUCCUCUUGUGGGGGAUAACCAGUCGAAAGACUGGCUAAUACCGCAUGAGAUCGCAAGAUGAAAGCAGGGGACCCGCAAGGGCCUUGCGCGAGAGGAGCGGCCGAUGCCCGAUUAGCUAGUUGGCGGGGUAAAAGCCCACCAAGGCGACGAUCGGUAGCUGGUCUGAGAGGACGACCAGCCACACUGGGACUGAGACACGGCCCAGACUCCUACGGGAGGCAGCAGUGGGAAUUUUGGACAAUGGGGGCAACCCUGAUCCAGCCAUGCCGCGUGUGUGAGGAAGGCC
This 387-nucleotide ribosomal RNA is filed under the name uncultured bacterium. RNAcentral describes it as "bacterial SSU rRNA". It matches the Rfam family "Bacterial small subunit ribosomal RNA", at positions 29 to 416 of the family's 1533-position model. The record is from RNAcentral.